GGUGGAUCUGGAUGAGAUCAAAUCUCAUCCAAUAAGGAAGUUCAAAUCAAAUUAAAAACUUACCUUAUCUAUAUCCUAACAUGGGGUGUGUGGAAGACGGAUGAGACUACUUUUAGCAUGGAGAAACUCACACCAAAAAUAAGAUGGUGCAAAAAUAAGGGCAGCUUCAUAUGAGCGUGCACACAAUGGAGAAGGGAGAG
This 200-nucleotide long non-coding RNA is filed under the name Elaeis guineensis (African oil palm). Its description in RNAcentral is "long non-coding RNA (EGUI_LNC059235)". Lineage: Eukaryota; Viridiplantae; Streptophyta; Magnoliopsida; Arecales; Arecaceae. The record is from RNAcentral.